RNAcentral lists this ribosomal RNA (1118 nucleotides) under Schizopygopsis stoliczkai (false osman). RNAcentral describes it as "partial 16S ribosomal RNA". It matches the Rfam family "Bacterial large subunit ribosomal RNA", at positions 157 to 2065 of the family's 2925-position model. The record is from RNAcentral. Lineage: Eukaryota; Metazoa; Chordata; Actinopteri; Cypriniformes; Cyprinidae.
GCCAAACAGCUAGCUCAAUUACCCAAUAACUAAACAAUAUAAAUAAAACAAAAUAAGCCUAACACCAAAAAUUAAAUCAUUCUUUUACCUUAGUAUGGGCGACAGAAAAGGUUACACCUGGAGCAAUAGAAAAAGUACCGCAAGGGAAAGCUGAAAGAGAAAUGAAAUAACUUAUAUAAGCACCAAAAAGCAAAGAUUAAAUCUUGUACCUUUCGCAUCAUGAUUUAGCCAGUAUAUCCAAGCAAAGAGACCUUUAGUUUGAAACCCCGAAACCAAGUGAGCUACCCCGAGACAGCCUAUUAAGGGCCAACCCGUCUCUGUGGCAAAAGAGUGGGAAGAGCUCCGGGUAGAGGUGACAGACCUACCGAACUUGGUGAUAGCUGGUUGCCUAAGAAGUGAAUAGAAGUUCAGCCUCGUACUCCCUGAAUCAAAAGAUAUAAAAAGAUAUUAGAGGGAAAUAUAUGAGAGUUAGUUAAAGGGGGUACAGCCCCUUUAACAAAGGACACAACCUUUCCAGGAGGAUAAAGAUCAUAAUACAUAAGACAUCCUGUUCUAGUGGGCCUAAAGGCAGCCAUCUAAACAGAAAGCGUUAAAGCUCAGACAGAAAUAAGUUUACUAUUCCGACAAGAAAUCUUACUCCCCUAAAUAUUAUUAGGCCAGCCCAUGCCCACAUGGGAGAGACUAUGCUAAAAUGAGUAACAAGAAGGCCAGCCCUUCUCCAAGCACAAGUGUAAGCCAAACCGGACCGACCAUUGGCAAUUAACGAACUCAACCCGAGAGAGUAAUGUGUAUUACAACGAAACCAGGAAGAACCCACAAUUAACCCAUCGUUACCCCCACACUGGCGUGCUAUUAAAGGAAAGACUAAAAGAAGGGAAAGGAACUCGGCAAACACAAGCCUCGCCUGUUUACCAAAAACAUCGCCUCCUGCAACACAACCAAGUAUAGGAGGUCCAGCCUGCCCAGUGACUACAAGUUCAACGGCCGCGGUAUUUUGACCGUGCAAAGGUAGCGCAAUCACUUGUCUCUUAAAUGGAGACCUGUAUGAAUGGCUAAACGAGGGCUUAACUGUCUCCCCCCUCCAGUCAGUGAAAUUGAUCUACCCGUGCAGAAGCGGG